GGGCCAUAGCUCAUUGGUAGAGUAUCUGCCUUGUGUGCAGGAAGGUCCCAGGUUCAACCCCAGACAUCUCCA
Molecule: non-coding RNA, 72 nt
Organism: Podarcis lilfordi (Lilford's wall lizard)
Lineage: Eukaryota; Metazoa; Chordata; Lepidosauria; Squamata; Lacertidae
Source: the annotation of a GenBank genome assembly